This 1795-nucleotide long non-coding RNA is filed under the name Ictidomys tridecemlineatus (thirteen-lined ground squirrel). Its description in RNAcentral is "lncRNA (ENSSTOG00000033392.1)". Lineage: Eukaryota; Metazoa; Chordata; Mammalia; Rodentia; Sciuridae. The record is from RNAcentral.
CACAGGGAGCCAGGGGUCCCCCGAGAGCUGAGGAGCAAGGCCCAAGUUCACCUGCGCUGCCGGCUCCAUCACAGCGGCCAAUGCACCUCGGGGUGUCCCCUGCACAGCCUUUGCUGUCCUUGGAUGAUCAGAAGGGCCUGCACUAGGUGUGUGUGUCGGUCUUCUGUGACCACAGGAACAAAUGACUCCACCCCAGUGACUUCAGACAGCAGAAAUUCUCUCCGGGUCAGGAGGCCAGAAGUGUGGAGUCAGGUCAUUAGCGGGCUCCAGGGAGGACCCGCCCUGCCUCUUCCCGCCUGUGCAGACCCCAAUGUCAGGGGGCGUUCACAGGGUAGGGGUCCUCCCCCAGGUGACAGUUGGAGUGGCCGUCACUGUUAGGAGACGUGCUUGAACCAGGCACCAGAAACCAGGUGGCCCUCACAACAGCUGGAAGCCCUGGGCUGAUAUCCCCAUGUGACAGAGGAGGAAACAGGCUCAGAGAGGUGGUGACUUUGCCCAGGUACAGACACCAGGCCACAUGUGCCAACUGGAUUUGUUUUGAUAGAGUCAAGAUAAAAUUCUGCAUGGAACCAAGCGUCCCAUUCCUGUCCCCACCCCUGGUCUUUGUGUCCUGGUUUUGGGUACACUUUUAUGAAGCAGAUGUGUAUGUUCUGCCUUAGGUUAUCAAACUGUUUGCUGUGAGCAUUGAAUAUACUUACUUUAAAACAGUCAUCAUAGAAACAUUUUCCUCAAAAAUUUUGAGCAGCUGUUCGGGAGGCUAAGGCCGGCACCGACACUUUGGAGAGUAGCCAAAGCUAUGCCUAGAGGGAAAUUCAUAGUCCCUUAAAUAUCUACCUGAGACUUCCAGUUCAUCUUCUGUGUUAUGUGUUGCCACAAUAGUGUUGCUUAAAAAUUGCACCCUGUGGUUCCAGACUGUGUUCAGUCAGGACUAUGGAGGUGGGUGGAGUCCCCAGCUUGGCCACUCAUACUUCAUCCUUGGGCUAAUGAGGCAGCUUUGCACCUUGGGUGGGCCCGUCCCCAUCUCGGGGCUACUCCAUAGCUGACCUGGCUGUACCGUCAUCUAGAGAGUGCUUCCCUGCCCCUCUCCUCUAGUUACCGCCUAUUGGCCCUUCAGGUCUCAACCCCACUCUGAGUGGUCUCCACUGUAGCCCCCAAGACCCAGGUGCCUGCCUUCUGGCCUCUGCCGGGUCUGGCACCACUAGGCACCUCCUCCCUGCACUGUGGCCUCUGGACUGUCACCAGCUGUCGGCUCCUGGAGGGCAAGGCCUGCCUUUGCUGGCCCCUUGGUAGCCCCUCACCUGUCCCCUUGAGAAACAAGGCAUUCAGAGGCUUUUUGUCCCCAAACCAGGAAGAUUCUGGGUGAGAGUGAGCCCAGCCUCCCCUGUGACCUGUCCUCUGCAGGAGCAUGUGUACUGCGAGGUGAUCCAGAUGGUGUUCCUCAGACCUCUAGGGCGUAAGUAACCAUGACAUGAAGGCGGAAGGGCCUGUGCUCUCUGGCCACCCUGGUUGGUUACUGCUGCUGAGUGGACCUGGAACUACCUGCAGGUCACAGAGUCCCUCUCGCAGGCAGUGGCCAGGCCAGCAACCCAGGCUGAGCCCUCCCUGCCAGGCCAGUCGGUGACCCCGGGCAGCCCAUGUGCUCCUGCCCACUCGCCUCCCCACCCCAGCCUGCCCAGAUUCGCUGUAGACUGGAUACGGUGCCUGUCCCCAGCUUAAGAGGUGCCCCAGGGUUCCACGACAGCUGGAUCUGGUUCAUCCCAAUCCUCUCGACUCCGUCAUUUCAAACCCCAUUUUC